Molecule: long non-coding RNA, 8232 nt
Organism: Brassica napus (rape)
Lineage: Eukaryota; Viridiplantae; Streptophyta; Magnoliopsida; Brassicales; Brassicaceae
Exons: 3
Source: RefSeq, a predicted model, not a curated record
UUCGAGAGAGCUUUUUUUCGUGAUGGAGAAAGAGAGUAAAAAAAAUUUUCCACACGCGAAACACAACUCCCAGCCGGACCACUCACGCCUUGCCACGUCCUUAAGGAUUUGAUCCUUAGACGCCUUAAUUAAGGAUCAAUCCUUCGGUUACGAAAUUUUUUUUUUAUUAUUUAUAUGUCAUUUGCCUAAAUAAUCGUGCUAAGGAUUCAUUACGAACCCGCGUUGCAGGUGCUCUUAGAACUUCUCGUUGGACUUGCUCUUAUUUGCAAGAAAAAAACUAAAUUAUCGAUGUAAACCGGUUUGCCGGUUCAAAGACAAGUCAGAGAAAAUGUAGUUUGGGUAAUAAUAGUAUAGGCCGGACCAGGGGUUGAAGAUUAUAAAGCUUGCUUUAAUCCCAAAUUACGGGCAUAUAUAUACCGUCGCUAGGGUUUCCUUCCAGCACAAAAGUGUUGCUAUGCGGAAACCAGUCGGUAAUUGUUUUGUUCUCAGUAGGAGUUUAAGUAAUUCGCGUAAGGCAGUGUUGUUUCCUCCUCCUUGUCGCUCGAGCCGGCGCAAUGAUCCUGCCAAGUUGAAGAGAAGGCUCCUCAAGUGGUCUGAUGUUACCACAACCAACACCACAAUGCCUAAGUCGUCUUCAUCAAGUACAAGUAAGCAGCAGCUCGGAUCAUCUUCAAAAGAAGAAGAUGCUCGUAAUGAUGAAGCCCAAAGCGAAAUCCCCACCUAAGUUGUUGUUGUUGUUUUACCUAAACUUUCUUUGCUCAGUACUGUUGUUUUUUUAUGUUAUAUAUGUGUGGGUUGGAAAAAUCUCACCCACUGUCACAACAAUAAGCUGCACUUCGGAGAUGAUUCCAGCAUCAUUGAGGAUGACUGUGCCAUGAUCUUACCCACUGUCAUCAAAUUUGAACGUCAGGUAACUACAAACUCACACACAAUGUGCACAUGUAUCACCAAAACUAAACCAGUUAGGACAGAGACUAGACCAUAAAACUUGAACCAACUGUUUCACAGUAACAAUGCUCACAUAUGUCAUCAUUACACCCACUCCCCACAAUUUUUCUGUGCUACUUUGAAUUUUAAAACAGCUGUACAAAGCUCGGGAAGAGAAGUACUUGCUGGAUAUACAAAGAGUUAACGGUCCUCAGUUUCUCUUCUUGGAUCUAUGCGCAGCCUUUCUUACCGAGCUCCGUGUGAUCUGAGAGCUUUUAACCAUUUGUUAAAGACAUUUGUUUCCACGGUUUGUAAUAGUAGAGAAGAUAGUGUAAGAUGUGGGUGCAGUGUUUACUUUGCCGGGUUACUAUUAUAUACAUGGAUUCAAGUUAAACUCUACUGUAAUAGUAACUAUCUUUUUUUCCAUUUUUGAUGGUUUCUAAGGUUUGGUCAUGUGUGCAUAAAACUUAGAUGUUCACAAUACACUCAGAUUCUUAAAUCGUGGCUACAAACUUCGUUUGACCAUUUUUAUAAUGUCUUUUUUUCUUUUCUUUUUCUUAGCCACAAGCCUAAUUCUUUUUGCUAUGUUUUCAGUUAUGAAUAUUUUCAAUUAUUUCACUUGGAUAUGUAUCAAAUCUAUCUGCAAAUGUAGGGAUAGGCGUUUGGAUACAUGUUCAAGUUAGGGUCAGAUAUUUCAGAUUUUUGGGUAUUUCAGUAUAGAAAUAUAAAACUCGUUUGGGUAUUUCUACAUUUUGGGUUGAGUUCGAGUAUUUUAAGUUCAGGUUCGGUUAUUUCGGGUCUUCGAAUAUUUAGAUUAUGAAGGAAAAAAAUAAAUUCUUCGUUGUUUAAGAUUUUUGUAUUUAAAAUAUGUAUUUUUAACUUAACUGAUUUUCUAAGUUUUAAUAGAUUAAACUAUUAAUAUGUUUUGAAGAUAAAACUUUUAAAAUAGAAACACACUAAUUUAAUUGUUAUUUUAAAAUUUUGGAUGCAAUUUUUGUUAAUAUAGAAAACAAGAGCUUGAUAUGUAUUUUAAUUGCAUAGCAACUGAUUUUGUCCAUAAUUAUGUGUAUUAUCUGAUUUGGAGCCAUGUGCAGUAUCAAUAUAAAUAUUUUGAAUAAAAUUAGAAAAGUAAAAUAGAAAUAUAGGGUUAAGUAUUCAUAUGUUCGGUUAUCUUCACAUAGCUAUUCGGAUUCGGAUAUUAUCCGUUCGGGUUCAGAUAUUCAAUCUCUCCUAAUUCAAUAUCUGUUCUAGUAUUUUACACUUCGGUUCAGAUUUUGGUUCGGGUUUUUCGGAUCGGAUUCCGAUACGGGUUCGGAUAUCGGGUAAAAUGCUCACCCCUAUGCAAAUGUAUCAAAUCUCUUCAUAUCAUAUAUUUCCAUACACUUUCUUUUCUUUUUUUUUUGGUCAAACAAUUUUCUUUUCUGGUCAUGAACUAUUAUAGAAAACCAAUGAAACAUUGACUUUAUUUUGUUUGCAUUGCAGUUGUGGUGCUACUCAAUAACUUCACCAUCCCACUCAAAAUAUCAAAUACAUUUUAGAAUAUAAAAACAAAAACAAAGAUCAAUUUUGUAAGUGGAGAGAAAGUCACAAGGCAUCAUGAAGUUUACAACACUAGCAUCCAUCGCGUUUGUUGUUGUUGUCCUCUUUUCAUCAACGGCGGCUCCGAUCAAUUCCCAACUUAUUCAAUCUAAUUCACCUUGCACCACUAUUGAUAUCACAGGAUGCGUUCCAGCCAUACUCUAUGGAGCACCACUAUCGCCAGAAUGUUGUCGGAAUCUGAAUGUACAACAACCAUGUUAUUGUGAUUUCAUAAAGAAUGCAGGUUUAAAGCCAUAUAUUACUUCCCCUCAAGGUCAUGCGGCUCUAGCGUCUUGUGGUAUUCCUUAUCCUACUUGUUGAAAUCCAAGAUAAUUAACAAAAGUAUUAUAUGGUGAAGAACAAUUAUGUUAUGUAAGAGUGAUGAUGAUUGGAAAUUCAUUAUAGUAUGUCAAUUCUUUGCAAUAUUUUAAAUAAAUCAUAUAUAACGUUUAAAAUAAAAAUAAAACCUUAGUUAUUAAAUGGAAUAAACAAACUUAUGUUCUUUAAUGUGAUAUUCAGUAACGAACCUAAAGAAAUAGUUUGAUGAAAUUUUAUUGGGUGCUUCUCUUACUUAAUUAUGUUGACCACCGAUUGUUGGAAGACAUGCAUCAAAGAGACAAAGUCACAAGACAUGAAGUGUACAUAACUAAUAGUACUCAUCGCCGUUGUUGUAAUCGUCGUGCUAUCUCCAGCUGCGAUCAAAUCAAGAGUGGGCGUAAAAUCUACAAAACCGCCUUGCACCGAGAUUGAUAUCAUAUGAUGUUUUCUAGCUAUAGUCUUAGGAGAUAAAUAUCGCCACAAUGUUGCCGAACACUGAAAGCACAACAACCAUGUUUUAGUGUGAUUUUAUAAAGGAUCCAGCUUUAAAACACUUCGCUACUUCCCCACAAGCUCACAUGGCCCUAGCGUCUUGUGGUUCUUCAUCCUGCAUGUUGAAGUAACCAAGAUAAUUAUUAAAAAUAAUAAUAUUAAAUAAUGGUCAAUAUUUUUAUGCAAGAAUGAUGAUGAUUAUAAAUUCAUAAUGUCAUUUAUCAUGGUUUUUCCAUGUAAGUUUUAAUAAAUCAUAUGUAAAGAGUGCUUGAAGCAUUUCAGAGAGACACUAUGAGCUCAACGUAAAAUAAUCAAUGAAGAUGUUUCCCUCAUAUUAUCAUACUCGAUAUCGUAUCCUUUAUAUACUAAAGCGCAAGUCGCAUCACCAAUCUAAAUUUGACAUGUGGAAAAUCUAUUUAAAAAAAAAAAAAUUGAAAAAUACAAAAAAGUAAAACACGUUAUCAAAACAUGGAAGUUUGAAAAUAAGACAAAUAACCAACCUUUUACGACCCAAUCAGGUAAAGCAAUUUUUUAUGAAUUUUUCUUUGCAUCUCCUAUUUUUCUGGAGUUUAAAUUUAAACUAACACAAGUCAUUUAACAAUGCUCUGAUUGACAUGUGUCAUUUACAGUUUCUAAAAAAGGUAACCUUUUGUUUUCAAAAUAAUUAAUUAAAUACAUUCAGAAUUUUCAGCAAUCGGGUAAACCUAAAAAACAAAUAAAACAACCGCAAAAUCCCUUGCAUACUUUUUUGAAACUGCAAAAUCUAAAUCCCUGAAUUUUCUCAGAUCACCACGUCCAAAAGUGAACAUAACAUCAUAACUUCUAUAUCAUGGCUGUUUCAAACUGUUUAUUAUUAUGUAUGUAUAUAUAACUUUCAGUCAACUAAUUUGUUUCUAUUCGCUCUUUUUUUUUGCCACAGUUUCAUCUUCCUCCUCGAAUUGUUUUUUUCUUUUGGGUUUUGAAUGUAACAAAAGAAAACAGUUACAUGUUUAUAUUUUUCCUAAAAAAAUCCAGAUUCAAUGUUACCUUUUUGUUGGUAAUUGAUUCAAUGUUUUCUUCUUCUUAACUUAAUGCUCUCUUCUUCUUUUUUGCAUGAUUCACAAUAAAGAUACCAAUGGAGUUUUCUCCUGAUUCAGAGCUUAGCUCUUCCAGAAAAAUGGGAAAUCAAAAGCAUUGUCAAGGUAAUAGUAAGUAUAUAUGGCUAUAUUAUAUAACGUAUAUUGGAUGUAGAUUACUUCUUUCUCUUUCUUUGACAAAAAGGAUUUGACUAUUUACAAAUAUGUGUUUCUUUCAUUGGUUUAUGCUUAAGAAGACCAAGGGACAACAGAUUUAGAUGUGUAUACAGAGAUUCCAAACACCAGACCUUAACUCGAUUUGAAAUACUAACGUGAGUAUUUGACAAUUUUUUCAGCUUACCAGAAUUUGUUUUGGUGUUUUAAAGCUUCCUCUCCAAAAAAUUAGGUUUAUAAUGGUUAUAGAGAAAAAGAAAACCUGGGCCAUAUUACCACUGAGGAACGUGAAUAUAGUUUUUGGUGCUGUGGUGGGAACUACCGAACAUGAUUAAGGUCAAUUGUUCAAGUAAAUUUAUGGAUAAUGAAAGUUGUUAUAUUUUCCUUGGUACAAUAUGUAUAUUUAUGGGUUUUAGUAGAAGAAGUAAGUUUGUAUUUAGACAAAAAAAAGUAAGUUUAUAAAAGUGUGGAUGAUAAAGCUAAUUAGUUCUGUAACAUGUACAUAGAAAACAAAAACGGAACAAAUGUCAAUGUGAUUUUAAUUUGUAUAUCACCAAGUUCUGAAAUUAAUCCCAGUUAUUUUAUUUUGACAAACAAAUUUAUUAUAUCCCUUAUAAGUACAAAGAAAUUGCAUAUUUUAUGUUUUAUAGUUUGUCAAUAUCUAAAUAAAAAUUUCACUAUCUUUUAUGGAUUUGUUAUGAUAUAUUAAUAAGAAGUUAAAUUUCUUUUUGAUACCUUAUGGAAAGCUAAAACAUAAAUAUAUCUAAACUUAUUUUCAUUCAGAACUAUUUAUAUCUAUCUUCAGAUUUAAUACUCUAACUUAAAUUUGACUCAAAAUAGUGUUUUCGAAUUUAGAAUGUAAUACUAUUAAACAUUAUAUGAAGACGAAGAAACAACAAGGUCGCACAAAUAGAGUUAAGAAAUGAGACCAUGUGUAGAAAUACUAAAGUAAUUGUUUUACCACUUUUAUUUCGGUUGUUUCAUUGUUAUUGUUUUUUCAUAGAUUUAUAGCCAUGUGGCAAAAGAAAGACAUCUUAUGUUUCCCUUAAGAAAUGUGAAGAUGACAUAUCGGUGGUGCUGCUGGGACGCAAUUGAGGUAAUUGUUAUGAUUUUUCUCGAUAUAUUAUCCAUAAUUUAUGUUUUAUGUAAAUAUAAAUUAACACUCUUCGGUAUCUCUUGACACCCAAUAAAAGUGGUAUGACAAUAUACGUGGAGUUAAUAUAUUUUUAACCCAAAGUGUAUUGUCAAUACAAUACACGUUCAAAAUAUAUGUUGAAUUUAUAAAAAAUUAAGAUUGUUUCCCGUACGUAGUACGGGAUCAAACACUAGUAUUGAUAUAAACUAUGAGAAAAGAUUAUUGAAUAUAUUAACGACGUGAGUGUGGUCGGAUGGUUCGGUGGACUUAGAGAAGUGUUAAAUUUCCAGGAUUUGAAACAUACCAUGCAGAUUUACCUAUCAUUAUGACCAGACUGGUGUGGAUAUUUAAUUCUAUUGUAGAAUUCUGGGUUUGUCUGUCGCCGAUAGACCAGCCUCCAGAGAAUUAGUUGAGUUCAGAUUCGGAUACUCCCAAAUAAUAUAAAAAAAAGAUUAUUGAAUAUUGAAAUACUAGGAUAAAAUAAUAUCCAAGACUAAAAAUGGAUAUAUUAGUUGUAAAUAUAUUAGUGAAAUUAUACUCUCGUCGGUUCUUGGACCUGAGUGUUCUCCUACUUAGCAUGGUGUGGUUUCUGUACCACGGCGGCGAGUUCGUGAGCUUCAGCACAGGUGGGGUGGUGUCUGAGCUAUGUGGCCAGCUCGCGUAGGUCCUGUAGGAGGUUUAAAGAGCGGCCGUCUAUGCUGCUUGAGUGGCCUCUCGCAUUACUUCCUCACCAUCGGCCUUCCUCUUCACGGUCCCUCCUCCGGAUGAUUUGUGCUCUGUUUUCAAAUCCCGUUUCUUGCUGUGGCAAGUUCAGCUCUAGCGUCUCCAAUUUUAGUUCGUCGAUUCUUGGCGACGAUGAGCGAGUGGUGGUUCUUAUUAGAGUAUACAAGACAAGCCCAAGACAAUACCAACAAGCCCAUUACUAUGUUAUAAAGCUAUGUGUGUUAGGGUUCCUUUACAAGUAGACUAGUAGUAUAAAUGUGAUUGUAAUGUGAUGAACAAAGUAACUUUGGCUGCGUUGAAUGCAGCCUCUCCUUUCAUAUUUAUGAAUCAUUUACAAUCUUACUUAUCUUGGUGACAAACAUAAAGAUUCUUCCUUUCUUUAGUUUCAUUGCACAAUAAAGCUUCCUGAAGCUAUUUCAUUUUCUGUGUCAAUAAGCUCUUGUGAGCAGAAUCUAUGUUGUUUUGAGUUUAUUCACAUGGUAUCAGAGCUGCAGUCGAUCAGGGAUCUACAAAUUUUUAUUUCUUGCUCUCAAGCUUCUGCUCGUUUCUGUUGAAGAAGUUUCGUGGCUUACAAAAAAAAAAAAACAGAGCUUUGUCUGAGAAAGAAGAACCUGCGAGAAGACCAAGCCUCUCAACGUUGCCCUGCCCAAGCCUCUCAACACUGUCACUUUCCAUAACUAAAGCUUCAAACUUUUAAUCCAUGAAGAUUCAGAGGGUCUUGAAGAAGGAACAAACGACCAUUUUCUACCCCUGAAGCUCCAAGGAUUUAGUGUUUUCUCGAUCCAAGCAAGCAGAGAAACAAGACAUGAGCUUUAUUUGAAGAAGAAGAGUUUGGUUCAUCUGAAGAAGAGUCUGAGUCCUCAAGCCGUUGAUGUUCAGUCGUUGACACGUUUCUCUAAAGUCAGAACCUUUGAGAGUGCACGAAGAUUGAAGAGUCUGAGUUUCGAAGGGAAACGUUUCACGUCAUACAUCACGUGUCAUGAGUGGCCAGAGAUCAAGCGGACUAGAGGCAUCACAUACUUCAUCGCUGGAUGGAAGAAGUCUUCAAACCAAAAUAUCUAUGGUAAUAUUCGUGAUCUCUUAUUAGACAUGGUUUGAGAUGGAUAUUGGCUGGUUUAGAUUCGUAGGUCUGGAACUCAGAAAGUUAGAUGAGAUAGACUGUGAUUGAUUAGGCUGAUAAGGGUGUGUUUAGAUAAGCAAGUUAGGGUCGGAUAUGCUGAAUGCACACAACCUGUUCGAUGAAAUGCCAAAGAGAAUGAACUGCAAUGUUCUAGUUGGUUAUUGGAUGGAAAAUAGACAGUGGGUAGGAUUGAAGUUGUUGUGGGAAAGUCCCUUUUGUAUCAGACAAAUUUGUUGAGUUACAUGGGUCAUGAAAGAACCCGGACUCUUUGUGAGAAAGAAAGGUCACAAUGUACCUCUGAGUGAGAUCGACAAAGCUCUCCAAGUUCAAGAGAAACCUCUGAGUGAAGCCAUGCGAUACUCUCCAAGUAUAGACCAACAAUCUCUUCUAUGUGGUGAAUUGAAGAUUACACCUAUAGCUCCAUUUGAUCAUGCUUCCACUACCUACUCCCCAAGCCAUUUGCAUUUGCGGUUCAAACUCAGCAUCUUGCUUUCACCUGACGCUAAGUUUGCGGGAGAGUAUUAGAGUAUACAAGACAAGCCCAAGACAAUACCAACAAGCCCAUUACUAUGUUAUAAAGCUAUGUGUGUUAGGGUUCCUUUACAAGUAGACUAGUAGUAUAAAUGUGAUUGUAAUGUGAUGAACAAAGUAACUUUGGCUGCGUUGAAUGCAGCCUCUCCUUUCAUAUUUAUGAAUCAUUUACAAUCUUA